GAGGAAUCUUGCGCAAUGGGGGCAACCCUGACGCAGCAACGCCGCGUGAGUGAGGAAGGCCUUCGGGUCGUAAAGCUCUGUCGGAUGGAAAGAAACGGAUGCGGGUUAAUAGCCUUCAUCCCUGACGGUACCAUCAGAGGAAGCACCGGCUAACUCCGUGCCAGCAGCCGCGGUAAUACGGGGGGUGCAAGCGUUGUUCGGAAUCAUUGGGCGUAAAGCGCGUGUAGGCGGCUUGGUAAGUCAGGUGUGAAAGCCCUGGGCUCAACCCAGGAAGUGCACUUGAAACUGCCUUGCUUGAGUACGGGAGAGGAAAGCGGAAUUCCUGGUGUAGAGGUGAAAUUCGUAGAUAUCAGGAGGAACACCGGUGGCGAAGGCGGCUUUCUGGCCCAAUACUGACGCUGAGGCGCGAAAGCGUGGGGAGCAAACA
Molecule: ribosomal RNA, 427 nt
Filed under: uncultured delta proteobacterium
Lineage: Bacteria; Deltaproteobacteria
Description: bacterial SSU rRNA
Rfam family: Bacterial small subunit ribosomal RNA
Source: RNAcentral